Molecule: ribosomal RNA, 333 nt
Filed under: Triticum aestivum (bread wheat)
Lineage: Eukaryota; Viridiplantae; Streptophyta; Magnoliopsida; Poales; Poaceae
Description: partial small subunit ribosomal RNA
Source: RNAcentral
AUGACGAGCCCGGAGCUGGACGAGGGCACGGUGGAGAGGCAGCCGGCGGCGGCGUCGCGUGGUGGCAGGGUAGCCGUGCAGGCGAGGGACGGGGUGUUCACGUGGGACGACGAGGAGACGGAGGCUGGGAUGAAGGUGCUUCGAGGCAUCGACCUGGAGAUCCGCAGCGGCAAGCUGGCCGCGGUGGUCGGCAUGGUCGGGUCCGGCAAGUCGUCGCUGCUCGGCUGCAUCCUCGAUGGGAUGCGCAAGGUCUCCGGUAAGGCUACAGAAAGGUUGGAAGUAGCCUACCCAACAAUAAAGGAGCUGGCUCUUGUUAGUGCUCUAAGGCUGUGA